Molecule: long non-coding RNA, 6231 nt
Filed under: Actinidia chinensis (golden kiwifruit)
Lineage: Eukaryota; Viridiplantae; Streptophyta; Magnoliopsida; Ericales; Actinidiaceae
Description: long non-coding RNA (ACHI_LNC006715)
Source: RNAcentral
AACUAAGUCGGUUGACUUGUUUUUACAAAUGCUCAAACCGAUGUAGUGUAGUUUUCUUCCCCAAUCCCGCACAAGAGCCAAACCCUAGCUAUUGGCCAUCCUCUCUCUCUCUCUUGCUGCUUGUUCUCUUUCCUCCUCCCUCUGCUGGUAAGUCUUCUCUCUCUCUCUCUCAUUUUUUUAUUACUUUCAUUUUCUCUCAUCAAAAAAGCUUUGUUUAGUUUCUAUAUUAUUUUGAAGUUGUUUUAGAUGAAAAAUGUUUUUUCUUUUCUCUUUUUGAUAUUCUGAAGUUCAUUAGGUUUUACUAGAUCUUUGUUUUAGGGGAUUUGUAUGUUUAUUUUUGGAAAGAUUAGGAGCACGUAUAUUAGUUAUUGGGACCAAACUCUUUUUGUUGAUUUUUGGUGAAGUCUAUGAUUUAUGCAAAGAAUUUAGAAACUCCAUGUAUAUAUACACUUGAGAUAGUGGUUUAAAGAAAUUGUAUGCAUUUGUUGGCCUUUGCAAAAGGUAUUGGUUCUGCCUAAAUUGAGCUAUCCUACAUUAGUUGAAAGGUGAAAUAUAAGAUGAUUGGAGGUGAUUAGUGUCAUCUUUGUGGCCUAAGUUGUAUCAUAUUGGGCCAAACCAGAAACUGCUUUUGUGGAAAAUACAUUUAAACUAAGAAAUGUUCUAAGAAUGUACUAUUUUUUAGGCUUAGUUUUUUUUUCAUUGGGAGUUGUUUCUAAUCAUCAAUUCGUAGGGUUUCGUAGCACAAACAAACAAACAAACAAAUAUAUAUAAACGAAACCAUCUUAUAGCCAUGACGAAGACCCUGUAAGCAAUCAUAUGGCUAAAGUACACUUCAUAUUUAUCAAUUUUGAAUACAAUUGAACCCCACUUAUGGACAGUUCAAUUGUUUCAAAUAGAUCUCCUUCACUUGUUAAGCAAGUAAGAAAGAGCAUAGUCGUCACAUAGAGAAAAAAAGAAAUAAAAGUUACACAAUAGACUACUGAGAACAUUGUGAGAGUUCAUUAUUAUAAACCUACACACAAAUUAUUCUUACAAGAAGUUUAUACAGUACACAACUCCAUAACUAGGAACCUUACAUGCAUUAUCACCCUAACAAUUAUAUAACAGGAAAAACACACACUUGGAAAAUAAAAUUUCAUGAAAGCAACAAAAGCAGACAAGAACACAUGGCUUGUGUCCCAUCUUGCUUACCAUAAAACCACAUAGGUGCUAAAUAACUACAUCUUCGGUAGAUGCAUAUGGACGCAUAAAACAGUUACCUCCCGCUACGUAGUGGCAGUACUAUGUGCUCCUUUAUGCUAUCAUACGCAGUCGUUGUGUUUCUAGAACCUUCAAAUCCAGAAGCAUCCGAUGCCACACCAAGCGACUCAGUCUCCUCAGAAUCUUCAUUAGUCCAUGGAUGUUUCCCAACCAUUCUUAAACUCUCAAGUUCCAUUGCUACUUGCUUCAUAGUAGGCCUCUCCUCCCCGUUCACUCUCAGGCAGCUCCUUGCAAUUUUAGCAACUUCCUUGAGCUGCUCGGUAUUUCCUUCUUGAACUACACAAUUGUCAAGAAUUUCAAACAACCUAUCAUCCUUUAGAGUAAUAAGAAAAUGCAUAGCGAGACAUCUCUCAUCCUCUGGCCGAUCGAAAGAAAGUACCGUUUUCCCAGUAAGUAGCUCAACGAGUACAACCCCAAAGCUAUAAACAUCACUUUUCUCCGUCAAUUGACUCGUGUGCAUGUAUUCCGGGUCCAAGUAUCCAAAAGUACCCUGCACGAUUGUGGACAAUUGCAUUUCAUCCAGGGGAACUAACCUUGACACUCCAAAGUCGCACACUUUUGCAGCGUAAUUAUCAUCUAACAAUAUAUUCGUGGACUUGACGUCUCUAUGAAUAAUUGGAAUAGCAGCUUCAGAAUGCAAAUACGAUAGCACUCCAGCAGUUUCCGCAGCAAUUCUUAGACGGAUUUCCCAUGAAACCAAGGAGGCCUUUCUUUCACAAUGUAUAUGGUCAUGGAGUGUGCCGUUUGAGAUGAAUUCGUAUACUAACAAGGGGACUGAUUCUUCUAAGCAACAACCCAAAAGCUUGACUACAUUUCUAUGAUUGAUUUGUGAGAGCACAAUCAUCUCAUUGAUGAAUUGAUCUAUUUGGCUUUGAUCGACUACUUUGGACUUCUUGAUCGCAACUGUCGUGUUAUUAUCUUUUAAAACUCCUUUGUAGACUGUACCAAAACCUCCUUUUCCUAUGAUUUUGCUGUCAGCGUAGUUGUCAGUGGCCUUCUCAAGCUCUUCUGCUGUAAAGAUUUUUGCUGUUUCAGUGGAUCCUUCUUGUUGAGAGAGUUUCUGCUUUAACAGCAAGCCUCCAUUUUGCCGAAAGAAUUUUUCUUUCAGCUUAACGAGUUUUCUUCUCUUUUGUACCACAUACAGUGAAGAGAGAGCCAUAAUAAAAACUGCAACACCUAUUGCAAUGCCUGUAUGUCAAGUAUUGAAAUGUCAACAUGAUAUAGAGAUUUAGGCUUCCAAAUAUACUAGUAAUUGGUUUGUUCAACAUUGACAACAUUUGGAAAUUCUUGAAACCAGAACUGUUAAAAUAUGCUCAUCAGGAAAACUGAUGAAUCUAAGAAGCUGAGAUUCGAAACCAAAAUAUAUGGCCUGAUUAGAAUUUCAUUUACAAUCUUAUUUAGUAGUAAAUUUUAUGGAGAUAGUGCAUUCGCUUCCAUUUUAGGAAGCAAGCAUUUACUUUGCUAAUAGACUCUAUUUUUGUCCUUAUAAUGACAAAAAGAUAGAAAUAGAGUACGGCAAAACUCAUUCACUCUAGUUACUAAAGGUGCGCUUUUGUAAGGCGAGCAUUGCCUUCUUGUAAAUAAAGAUGAGCAUUUUGACCAAACAAAAUAUUCAUCUCACAAAAAUACAGCUAAUAUCUCCAUUCCAUUUGCCCCAAAUUCUUCUCUUGUAAUUGUUGGAAAAAGGAGAAUUAUUAAGAGUGUUUGUAUUGAAAGAAUUUUGGAAGAGGGUCAAAUAAUAAGACAAGAGUGGGAAAGUAAACACUUUGUAUUACACUUGGAUGCAAACCUUUUCUUUUGGGCAUAGUACAAAAUGAGUAGAACCCAUCCAUAUUUAUACUAUUUAUGAAAGGUUCUAGAUUUCUUUACAAGAUAAUAUUUAAGUAAAUUCUAGAUUUUACACAUGUGAUAAAUACAUACAACAAAUAUGUAGGAUAUUUCUAAAGACUUUUCUAUACAUCUUCUAGAAUCUAAGUAUUUCUAGAACUCUUCUAGAAAUUACAUACAUCUCCUUCCAAACUAUCUUCUAUUUUGGGCUUUCUGUAUUGGGGUUCAUCUAUUAUUUUUCUUGGAUCAAAUCAAGUUUAUACUUCAACAGUAAUCUCAUAAAGUUUUAUGAACUAAAACUUUACAUGAAGUAGACUUGUUUCCCUCGAAGAAUACGUGUAGGUAACAUUGAAAAGAUACGUAAACUUAAUUGCUUAAUCUUAAGACCUUUCUAUUUUUUUUCAUUAAUUCAAAUGGCUUGCUUGUAGUUAAAACAGAAAAAAGAAUUGAAAAGAGGAACUGAUAGGGAGAUUCCAAUUAUUUGUUCUUAUUCCCAGAAGAGGAAAGAAAAUCUCAAACAACGAAGGAUUUUAAAUGAAACAUGUAAUUAUGACCGAAAACGUAACGAAAUGGAUCAAUGGCCUCUAUCACAUUAGGUGGGCCCAUUGUGUUGUGUAUCGUCUUCGUUUGAGACGUUGGUGGUAAAUCGUUUCAGUGAUUCUAGCAUAAAUCGAACUAAAUGCUAAAACUUACCGAUACCAAUCUUGUAGACCAGAAAUUUUUCAUGAUGAGCGCAACCUUUUCCAUCUUUUCUUCCAUCCCCAUGGUAUCCCUUUGGACAAGAACAUGUGUAAUUUCCUUGGGUAUUGGUACAAACUUCUUCACACUGAUUGAUUCUUGCAUCUUUACAUUCAUCAACGUCUGCAAAAAAUAAAUAAAUAAAGUCAUCCUUUAACCUUAAGGCACAGACAAUAAAGGCUAUGAAAAUCGAAACAUCUGUUUAUAUAACGUGUACCUUGGCAACCGCCGGCAAGGUAUGGAUUUCCUUGGUAUCCUUCCAAGCAACGACAACGGUAUCCAGCUUUAUUAUUAGUAUCAUAACACACACUAUUAUCAUCCACACAUGCGUAUGAUCCAGUCGAGUUCUUCGUUGCUACUUCACAUGUUUCGUUAGAAAUUACCCAGUCAAGCACCGCCGGAAUGUCUGUUUCACUUCGCAAACCAGUUAGCUCUGCUAAAGAGAAGUUAAACUUGUCCUCUUCCACUACAAAAGCAUAUCCACAAGGGCUAAAAUUCCAGACACUUGUAUGAUUGGCACCGCUAGUUAACGCCACUUGAUAGGAGCUUACUCCUUCUGGGAUUGGCGUUUGGCAACAACCGAUUCCUGAGCAAGAUCCGUUGCUGACAUAGUCCAUCCUGUCACACAGAGAUAUGCACCCACUCAGGUACGGUUUGUCACCUUGAUAGCCUGCGAUGUAUCCGAAAGUGUCACAACCAAUAGCAGUGAACUUGUUUUUGGUACUUGAGAGCCUCAUUGUACUCAAAUUACCGUGGCCUCAUUGUACUUAAUCUGUGUGCCCAACUGGUCAUAGCAAUCAUGAGCUAUGUGCUGCAAGAUAUUCACCUCACCAUCGAAGAUUGAUAUAUUUGUGACAUUGUAAUUACUUCUCCAUAGAAACGGUUUGGGAGGGCUGAAACUUUUGCAUGUUAUCAGGAAGUCGUCAUUAUAGUAACAGCCCUUCGUCAUACCAAAUGGAUAAGGGAUGCUAACGUUGCCGCACCUGUCUUGGCAACCCUCCUUGGCUCGUGCAAUUCCCUGGACAACCAUUGCUGCUGCUACUACCCCAACCAACGUGAGUUGGAGGAGCAUUCUUUGCAGUACCAUGAUUGGUUUCCUUGUUCUGAGAUGAGAUGAGAUAUGAUGAAUCUAGGCAGGUAUAGUUAGCUUUCUAAGCAUCAGAUUCUGAUAGUUUUGUGGUAGCAAAUUAAUUUAAGCUGAAAGCAGCUAUUUAUAUCAAAAAGUACUUGGAGUGCGUUUGUCAGAACUUUUUCUGUUGCAUUUCUUUUAUUUUCUGUUUUGGAAGUUGUGUCACAGAAGUUUGUCACAAUUUUUGCUUUCUGUUUAUCUGCGUAAAACAAUUUUAAGAAGUUUGAAAAUAACUGAUUUUUGAAAACUCAAUUUUGAUGUUUUCAACUGCUGCUGUUGAAUAAUCAAUAUUAACAUAAGUUCAGCUACAAUAAUUACCCCUUUAUUGUUUAUCGUGUGAAAUGGUUAAAUAUAGGGAAAAUCUACGGCAAUGGUGAAGGCAACACAACUGUUAAAUCAUUGAAUGUUGUGGUACCUUGCAUUAUUUAGCGUAUGUUUGGCUUGGGGUACUUUUUUGUUUUCAUUCUUCAAAGACUUGUAUAUUUGGUGGAGUAAACUUUUUGUGUUAAAUUGUAAAGAUGGCCAAAAAUAAGACGAUGGUUGUCACAUAUCACUUGUUUUUAUCAUCAUAUUAUUUUACUGUAUAUGUGGUAAGAUAUGAUUCGCGAUAAUUGUACAUUCACAUAAUCUUUUUUAAAUAAGAAACAAAUUAUAAGUAUUAUAUAUUGUGAGACUUACUCUUUAUGAGCAUAUAAGUAAAAAUUAGACAAAUGAUCUGUGACUUUGAUGAAGAUUCUUACUUGAUGGCUUCGUGGAAAUGGGAAAUUUUGGCGCUAUUGGUAGAAAAAUGAAAUAAUGUUAAACGAAGAAUGAAGACCAUGCCACACUUGAUAGGGAUCCUGGAUAUUGUAUAUUCUGCACCAUUCAUUAUCAAAAACAUGAUUUGUGAAUGCUAUUAUUCAAGAAAGUCUUGAUAGCAAUGUAGUUGUUUGUUUCUAAUUGAGGGUAUAGUCAAUUCUAAGUGAAACUAAGCAUAUUAUGCACCUUUCAUUUUCAAAAACAUUAUCUGUGAACGCUAUUAUUCAAGAAAUUCUUGAUAGCAAUGUAGUUGUUUGUUUCUGAUUGUGGGUAGUCAAUUCAUCAGUGGGUAGUCAAUUCUCAGUGAAACUAACUCUAAAGACGAUCAAAAUUAUGAAUUUGGUUGUAAUUUUCAAAAUUAAUUUUAGAGAACACAUUAUAAAAUUUAUUUCCAGAAUAUAAGGGUAUGUUUAGUAACGGUGUUCUAUUUUCAAUUUUCUAGAUUUCGGAAAUAGAUUUAUGUUGAGAUAAAAAUUUGG